CAAUCAGCACAAAAAAAGGUUUCUGAUCUUUUAUUCUUUUCUAUUUCUGCCACAUUCCCCAAAAGCUCGCAAACCUGAUAAAUAAAUGAUCAAAAUGUGAACAAGGCUAACUGUUGACGUAAAUCAGAACUGUAUUAUUGAGUCUGACGUCGGGGACUGAAGCUUUAAUCAAUGUGGGUGGUUUCAUCCAUAGAUAAAUACAAAUCCUGAUGAUGAAACCUCGGGGGGGAAGAUAAAGGACUCUCUUUAAAUGAUUCCUUUUAAAUGAGAGUGAGAUGGUGCUAUAUUCAGGCUGUUGGUUUUUAGAAGUGAUACAGGGUAGCUGAUCAAUAAAAGAAGCAUAAGGAGGGGGGAUCUCAAGGGGGUAUGCGCAGCACCACUCCCAAUGAAAACGUAUUGGCCUCCCUGGAGGCUGUAAUUGGAUAUCUGCUCAGCAGAGGGAGGAUUUAAGCUCAAAUCAAUGUAUUGGACUCGGUUGCAACAGGUUGAAGAAGGUUUUUUUUAGCACUUCCAAAGAGCGUAUUACUUGAUAUGAUAUUAUUUUAACCUCUUUGAAACAGCCAACCUUUAGGGUUUCUAGUGUGCCAAGCAUUGAAAACACAGCGACAAGAUGGAAAUAGGUACUGCCAGUGUAAGUGGACACAGGCCCUAAUUCUCUAAGCUGAUGCAAAGAGUGAAAUGCUUUCAAAACCGCACUGCAGAGCAAAUAGCACUUCUAUGCAGGAUGUUGUUGCAGACAUUGCAAAUAUGAUGUUUAGAUCAUUACCAGUGGUAUUAACGACCAUGAGCAGUGAAAGUUGGUGAUAACUACACCAUAGCUUCUAUAAGUCAUGUCAGGGUCAAACUCUGGCGUCACUGUUUCUACAAAGGUUCAGGGGUUGGAUACAUAAAGGGAAAUGGGUGUCAUGAUAUGUUUUGUUAAUUUAGUUUUCCCCACAUGUUGCUUAUUUGAGUGUUUUUUUCCUAGUGUUUCUGUUCCCUAUUGUUCUUGUUUCCCUGUAGUCUUGUGAGUUUUCAGUUUGUGUCUGACCCGGUUUCCCUCAUGUCCCUAGUCGGUACGUUAACAUGAGACCCAAGAAAACCAAAUUAUCGCCUUACUCCGAUUAAGACCAGACAACUGUAGUGCUGAAGUUUUUGAGAACUCUGAUUGCAGUCAGAGAACUCUGAUUAAGACGCCAAGGAGAGCGUCAUUAUGCUUUCCCUCCUGAGAGAAAUCGUCAUUUUAAAGUAUUCGGACGGUCACAUAUACGCGACUGUCCAUAGCAGAAACAGCACUACUGUAAAGACCCAUAUCACCCCCUAGUUUUGGGGAGGAGGACACGCUCAUGUCAAUAAUCCGAUUUUCUCAGCUGCAUGUAUAUGCGGACAAGGAGAGAAGUCAGAUUCGGCGAAAAAAAACUAAUUAAAAUCUUAGUCCAAUUAAGCUGUGCAUGUAAACGCACUCAGUAUUUUAUUCUUUAGAUCAGUCUUCAGUUCUCCCUGUUUUUUUUUCUUAGGAGUCCAUUCUUAUGUGUAUAGUCUUGUUUUACUUCCUCAGUUUUGCCUCCUCUGUAAUCGUCUGCACCUGUAUCUCGUUAGCCUCACCUGUUGCUCGUUAGCCUCACCUGUUGCUCGUUAGCCUCACCUGUUGCUCGUUUGCCUGUGUGAACAUAGUCCUUGUUUUCCCCUGUUUCUUUGUUGGUCCAUUGUAUGUGUAUGUCGAUGCAUAUGCUUGUGUCCCUUGUUGCUUCCUGUGCUUUUUUCCCCCAGUGAUUUUUGUGGAUUUUGGCUUUUGGAUUUUUCUCUUUGUUGCUUUUUCAUUUUUUUUUUAUUUUUUUUAAUAUUUUUUGUUUUGUUUUGUUUAAAUUCUGCAUUUUGGGUCCUUUUCCUUUUUUGCUCAACUCCAGACUGUAAUAACUAUGUCCACAAAUAUAGAGUCAAGUUUUGGUCUAGCUGUCCUACAAGCUGUAUAAUGUAAAUUAUGAGUCAACCUCACAAGACACAACUUAAACAGUGGAGAUGCUGACAGCUCACUUCUAUAGCUGGAUACAAAACAAGAGCAAACUGCACAGAGCUGCAACAUUUGGCUUUGUCAUUCACUCUAAUAUUAUGAAUCAACCUCAUGUUUGAAUGGUAUGAAGCAACACACCAGAGAUGUCAACAAGACUGUCCUCACAUGAGUUAAAUUGAAAGGAGUCGACUCAGUGUGAUAUUUCACAUCAUUAGCGAGUUCCUCCCAAUGGUGUAUCUAUUCGUCGGCAUGUGCAAAUACUUGUUUAUCUCAGAGGGGAAAAAAAAAAUCACGGCUUCCGUUUCAAAUCGAAGUAAAAACAAGGCUUUGAAAAAGAUCAUCUGAGUUCAUCUCACAGAUACUGAGAGGUUUUUGAGUCUUUAGUUGGGAGGCGUCAGUGAAAAUCAUUUUUCAUCUGUAAAGCACCAAAUUUCACAGCAGUUUUACCAUUCUUUUCAAACUUCUUAUACGUCCUAUAAGGAGUUUUUAGCCGGUUAUAAAAACAGACUGAAAUUACGAUGUCUUUGAGCCACAAAAACAAAGUUAACCAUCAGUGACAAUCUUGAUAAAUUCUGUUUGGUAGGUGGUAUCCAAUGCCCUAGGGAAGGUGCCAAGAAAAAGGAGCAAACCCAUAUAUCUGAAUGAGCCUUUGUUUACAAGCCAAGGUUCACCAUGAGUGAAGGGUUUGGCUUUCAGAUUAAAGCACAAACAAACAAACAAAAAUCACUUUUUUCAAGGUUAUUUCUUCUGAUUAAGAAAUUAAAUUGUCUAAUCAGAGUCUAUAGGUUCAACAAGGGUCAUUUUCAGGACCUGUUCAUGUGAAAGUGUUGUUUACCUUCAUGGUAAAACAUGACUGAUCAACUUGAUGUUGUCCCUCAGCCUGGAGUCACAGACGGUGAUUUAAAAACUCCAAGAGAGUCCUCUGUUGGCUUUUGUAUCAGGCUGACAUUAGUUUGUUGAACUAACUUUGUGUUAUCCUUUCAAUGCUACAUGCUGAAAGAGUGAAGGUUAAUUGGUAAAUACAAACACCGACAAAGCUUCCCUGUUAAAAAACACGAUUGUAAAAAGGUGAAGGAAUGAAAUGUCACAAGAGUUCUUAGCAGUGUUUUGUCCUCGUUUCAAAAGGCUUUGGCUCGAUGUGUUUUCUUUCGCUUCUGAUUCAUCAAGAAAGAAAACGUCUGAACCCAAGCUGAGAUCAUCUACCACACCGAUACUCUGUUGCACCAUCCCUGUAAUUAUCCUCGCAGUGUAAAAGGGGUAAAAGCCAGGAACUGUUGGACCUGCUAAUGACUCAAACUAGUAAGACUCAGGCAAGUUUUUCUUUUUCAUAAAUGUGUUUGGAUUUCAUCAGCCCAGCCGAGGGCUCGUGCAGACAGCUUGGAGACAAGAAGUCAGACAGUGACCCCGGCAACCGACAGCCAAAGUUCGGCUCGUGUGGGAAACUGACUUAACUAGAGGAAUCACUUUGAACAGAAAAACAGAAAAAGAAGAGACUCCUUUCACAUAAACUCCUACAGUACUGCACUUGCUCCACUUUUGAAAAGAUGCUGUACGGAUUUAAUUGUAGGGAUGAGUCAAAGCGGGUGACAUGGCACAAGCUCGCAGAUGAGUGCAGUCACAGCAAAGUUGAAGUUAGCUGGUUUCUAAAAGUCGCCACAACUUCUACUUUGAAUGUUAGAAAAUGUUAUUUUUUUAUUUUGGGAUACUCAGAUGUAAAAUUAAGUUAGGGUCAAACACAUCGUAACACCGUUUUAGACACCCCGUUGAGAGAUGAAUGUUGCCGACCGCUUGCUUCUCUUUAGUAACGACCGUACGAUAGCAAUACAGAGAGCCAUGCGCUCAACCAAACAGCCACUCUAUAGGCACAAAUAAUGCUCAGAACAACACCUAACUUCAUCAACGGUACAUAUAGGGUCCCAGAGGUCCCAGAGGUCUCUGUACAAACAAGCGGCUGCUGGAAGAGAGUAGGUGAGUUGCGUUAGGUCUCUUUGCUAAAGGAAUAAGGCAAAGCUUAAAAGAUGAUUGGUGGCUAGUGCUGUGGCUGGGACCCUAUAUGUACUGUUGAUGAAGUUAGGUGCUGUUCUGAGCAUUAUUUGUGGCUAUAGAGUGGCUGUUUGGUUGAGCGCGUGGCUCUCUGUAUUGCUAUCUGCGGUCAUUACCAAAGUUGGUAUAACUAGAGAAGCAAGCGGUCAGCAACAUUCAUCUCUGGACGGGUGUGUCUAACUUGAUGUUAAGGUGUGUUUGACCCUAACUUAAUUUUACGCCGAAACAUACCUUUAAAGGAGGAUUAGUCGACCCUGAAAAAGUAACCCCAUGGCUACUGUGAGCCAAAAAGAAAGGCCACGGAAUCUCUGUUUUAGAAGCUAAUGCAGGGAGAGCAGCAGCGAAGGCCAGUGGAGCACAGAAAAGUUCCCAUUUUGGCCUGCCUGGACUAGCCCCGGUGGGUAUCUUCUUUUAAAUUCUCCAAGGCAGUAUUUGUGCAUCACCAUUUGCCUCUGAGCAGGUGUGUUGUGUGGAUCAUAACAAGGACAGCUCAUGUUAUUGUGGCUUUUUUCCCCCGAUUUUUCCUCUGGUAUUUGCCUUCUUUCCUCCUUCAUAAUAAAAAGGGGUCACUGUUAGUAGCAGUGAGGGGCUCAUUAACACGCCCACCUCAGGGUGCCUCUCGAGGGUAGGGUCAUUGCCUGCCUCGCAUAGCUAACUGUAAUGCUGUUUUCCUGCCUUUUUGUAUCAUGACCUCUGAUCAGCGCAGCUUUAAAUGACUGUGACAGCUGUGCCCGGGGGCUGUGGGGUAUCAGCACACCACUGUUUAGGUGCGCUCCUCUUUUUAAAGCUCCUUUUAUUUAUCCACUUUAUCCCAGGGUCAAACUUAAUUUGUUUCAAAAGUGUUUCCUGAUUAAGGAAAAGAGGAGUUUUCACAUAUGGCACAUGCAUGCUAAUUCUAAAUGCACCUGCCUGUGCGCUCACACGUUAUUAAAAGGCCUCGGGCUUGUUUGGUAUGAAUUAUACAUGACCAUAAUUCUUCCACAGGAUGUCAUGGAAAUUUUUAUCAGGAAAACAUAUGAGUAGCAUGAAAAAUAUUUGAGUCUGCCCUGUCCUCGCUUGUUGUAUGUGUGGGCUUUAAUGUGAUCAUGAUCGGGAAUGAGGCUUUAGAUUACAGACGUGGCAGACAAAUGUCUGUUCAUAGUGAUAUCUCACCCGCUGCUGUGAUUAAGCAGUCCCCUUCUGGCGUGGAUUACAAACUGCCUACAUAAUUGAGAUUCAAACAAUUAUGUACCGUUUAUGGCCUGUUUUUUUUUUUUUUAAACUGUGGGCUGGGACCGACAAUGAGAUGAAGGGCUGUUUCUGCAGGAUAUCCACGUCUUGGGGACAACAAUACUGAAGGAAUGGGUUCAUCUCAUGGAGCCUGUCACAGUGAUUAAUCCAACAGGCCUGACUAACGCUAAACAAUUGAUUGUUUUAUGUUGUCUGGUGUAACAUAUUGUGUGGAAUUUAAUUCUUAAAAGCCACUUUGUUGUAUCCAGAGGGCUCUUUAUGAUUAAAAAUGGCGAUAAUGGCCUCAGUGCUAUGAAAUGUGAAAUCAUAUUGGACUCAGUCGGCCGUUUGGACGUGUGCAAAAUCAAGUUUGGAAAAAGUGUGGCGUGCAUCCAUUAGAGAGAACCAAAUUUGACACAUUCAUUCACCUUAAUGCUCGUAAAAAGGUGCCCGGCCUGCCCUUACACCAAUAAACAGUUUUCCCUGUGCAUUUCUAAAAUUAGCUGUGAUAUAAACAAGACUUUUAAUGCCAUGCAAUCCAUCUGUUUGAUUAUGUAUUUAAAGCUCCUAUGAGGAAUUUUGAACUAAAUAGUGAGCAAAAAGAUUGAGAAUUUCCAUACUAUCACUUUUAAUGCAAUCAAAGAUUACUUUUUUUGUCCCACACACUGCAGUUUGUUUGAAGCGGCCAUCACGUUUUGUAUUUUUUUCGUUGUUGAACACAUACAUACACAAAAUAAUCAUAUUAACAUUUCAUACAUAAAAUAAAGCCCUAGGAAAUAAAAUAUAUACAUGAGACAAAAGAUACGUACUUUCCAGUCUCGUAACUUUUAAUUUGAAAGGCUAAAAAUCAACUUCCGAUAUAAAAAAAGUACUUGGGUUAUAUUUGCUUUUAUUUUGAAAGGCUUAGAAGCAACUUCAGACUUAAAAUAAUAAUAAUAAUAAUUUCAAAAAACAUCCCGUAGAAUUUGCUCUUAUUUUAAAAGGUUUCAAAUCAACCUCCGACGUAAAAAUAUAAUAAAAAAAAUUUAAAAAACAUCCUGUUAAAUUUGUUUUUAUUUUGAGAGACUUGAAAUCAAGUUCCUAUGUUAAAAAAGUACUCCUGUUAUAUUUGCUCUUAUUUUGAAAGGCUUCCAAUCAACUUCCGACGUAAUAAAUAAAAAAUAAUAACAAAUAAAUAAAAACUACUCCUGUUGUACUUGCUUUUAUUUUGAAAGGCUUCAAAUUGACUUCCGGCUCGCUCAGUGGAGGUUGGUCCUAACAGUGGAGGUCUGCAGUCAGACCGUCUUGUUAAAUAUAGGCAUUUAAGAAGUAAAGAUGGGACAAGAUUCGUCACUUUGUGAGCGGCUGUGUGCCUAAAUUGUUCGACAAUUUCAGAAUUCAGCGUGAAGUAGCACAUCAUUUGUUGAUUUCUUCAUCCAUGAUACAUUAAAAACAUACCAGACUGACAUUUUUACAUGGUAUCCCAAUUUGUUUGAAAUUGGGGGUCAUAUCAGUUUAUGGUGAGAACAGUCAAAGUUCCUGGUCCUAGCAAACUGCAGCAAAACAAAUCUUGACUAAAACCCAUUACAUUAUUUAUCAUGGCUUUCAAUCAUCCACAUAAUAGCGCGCUAAUUAACCUUUUCACUGGCGAAGAUGUACGGCCAAUUACCCCACUGGAUUGGCACUGACUGUCGAUCACCAAAGAUGUAAAACAGGGGAAAGUGAUAACCGCGGUCGGCUGUGCUGAUGGCUUUGAUGCCGCCCGGUGCUCAUCAUCAAAAAACAUUAGCGCUCGCUGUCUGUGCUGGAGUCUGAUCACACUGCAUCUUAUGAAGCGCAGAGAUAGGGUUCAUCUUGUAAAAGGAAUGCAGAGAAGAAAUGGCUCACAGAGCCCAGUUAACCACUGGUGUUUUAUGCAUGGGGUCCAUGUGGAGUGUGAUAAACCUCCCCUGUUGAAAAUUACGUCUGAUAAAGGUCAAACGGUUAAAGACUUGCUGGAUGAAGCGCCCAUAUUUAAUUUUCUGCUGGCUGCUGCAGCACUCCAUUUGCAGUGUCCAGCUGUCCAUUGGUCGAUUGUUAGAAGGAUAUGAAAGAAAAUUGCUCACAUUAAAGGCUGAUCACAGUCAUUCCAAACACGGGGCCUAUUUUUUUUUACAUAUUGAGGGACAUAAAUAACUAGAACGGGGCAUCAGUAUUAGAAAUAUUACGAUAGAUUGCUACAACACCACAUUGUCAACCUUCCUUUGCUUGUUUUUCGUCAAAUCAGGCCAAUGACUUCCCUCGAUCUAGCAAGAGUACUUCAACUUUCCACGAAGGAUAGCAGGAUCUCUAAUAAAGUGCAGAAAAUUCAACAGUUUUUAUGCUCAAUUAGGCGUCACAUGCGCAACAAAUUACAUUUCACAAUACCAUUAAUUGUGCGUCAAGGUCAUGAAGCCAAAUCACGGGGAAAAUUGGACUUGGAAACCUAUUCAUGACAUCAAAGAAGAAUCGAUCACUCUGUAUGGAUCCCCCGCUGGGAUGUGUAUCUGGGAAAACAGUCCUUGCCUCCUGCCAUCCCGCGACCCCCCUCCGCACGAACAGUCUGCGGCGUAUUAGCGAGCCAACUCUCAAUCCCACGCAUGUGUCUGCUCCCUGUGGAACAACUGACACUCGGUACUUUGAUCUCUGCGGCCAUUACUCAUGUCUACAAGGAGUAUGAAAAGAAAAAAAAACACAGCAGAAAAGGGGGUAGACAAUUCCUCUGUCGUUUGAAAGAAGGGAAAAAAGCAGACGUGUCCUCUAAUGCGACGCAGCGGGCGACGGCCGAUUCAUCUCCGCCUGUGUCUUGCUUCCUAAUCAGCUCGUGGAGUCGUGGCGUACCGCGCUAUUUGUGAAUGGCGCCCUGCAACAGAGGCCGCUUGGCUGAUGGUCCGCUCCAUCUGCCGUGAUGGACGCCGCCAGAUUGGAGACGCUCCCUGGGUCUUCUCCACAUGUCCGUGCUCGCUUUAUGUGACUGGGUCCGAACCAAAUUGCUUGUCACUUUGAUACUGGAGCAAACAUUUGCCCCCCUGUUGUAUUUUAGAACCGUGAUACAGCCUCGGAGGCGUAAUAUCAUUACGGAAAAGCUCAGAUCUACCAAAGUAGAAUGUUUGUGACAGAUUUGCAUUCUGAUUCAUACACCAUAUGUGUUGCAGACUCUGUUUUUAUAGCUUUUUAAUCACACUUAAGUCGAAGCAUUGAGAAGGCAUUACAUAACAGAGUGUGAUUUCGAAAACCACGGCCAAGAACAAAAGACAUGCUGCACUAUAACGUGCGAGUUUUGAAGUUUACACUUCUUUAUGUGAAAAGUACUUGUUAAAACUACAUAAUGAGAUGGAGUCGACAUUGUUUACAUCACAUUGCGAGGAGGGUGGCUGCCAGAGUGAUGAAGGCUAAGAAAACAAGUAUGUAUUCGAAGGGAACGCUUUCAACGGUAUAACUCUGAAGAAGGCCGCCUCCUCCUCCUGCUUGAGUUUUAUCAGAAAAAUAAGAGAUCGCUUUGAAAUCCAGGGCUGACCUUGAUGUUCACUGCUGCUUGAAUAUUUCAGAAAAGUGGAUAGGGGGCAGAGAAGACAUUGGGUUGGGGCACUUUAUACACAGCUUUCAUCAAAAGAAGUGACUUUGCGAGUUGGGACUCAAAUAUAUACACAAAGCUAAAACUGCCAGGUCUGUUUAAGUCUGGGCCGUAGUGAAACAACGACUGGCCACGAAAUAUAAAAAACUGGUUUGGAAUGGCAGAAAUGAUUUUCGGUUUUGAGUUGUAUUCCAUGAAGGGUUUAAGGAGAUAGACCUGAAUGCUGCCAAGUUAUGGGACUAUUUAUGCGUUAUGGACAAAACUUCAACAAGUAUCCAGCACGCCCAGAUAAAAACUCUUUCCAGUAUUUCUCGCACAGAAAGGGUUUUGAGCAGACUGAUUAAGUAUUUACAUCUGCCCCAAGCGUACUACAAUAUUCACAAUCUCCAUUUAUACUGAUUAAGCAGCAUAAUGUAGAAGUUAAUCAAGUCCAGGUGUGGUUUUAUCGUAAGGUCAUGUUAGCUUUGAAAUUAAACCCUAAACAGACAGAGUCUACUUAGGCAUGUGGUGCAAGUAUUUACACCUACCAAUUUUGAUCUCAAUAUGACUGAUAACUAAUAUGUAUUUAUUAUAUACUUUUUUUGUACUUUUUAAAUUUAUUCUUUUUUUAAAUUUAACACCUGCCCAAGUAUUUUUGUCAACCAUUUAUGCAUUUUUAUCGAUCAUCUGGAAUCUCAAUAUGACUAAUAUUGAAUGUGUAUAUAUUACAUUGUUUUGUUAAACUUUAAUAUGUUUUUUUUAUUUUGUAAAAUAGAGGUUUCUCUAUAGUUUAUCUAUUCUAUUUUAUUUUUAUGUUAUGAAGCUCUCUAUAAUCAUGUUUAAAAAAGUGUCAUAUAAAUCAGGUUUAUUGCCAAUAUUAUCAAGUACAGAUAUAGAUUUAUUGCACGGUCAUGUUAACGUUUAAAUUAAACCCUAAACAGACAGAGUAUACUUAGGCAUGUGGCGCAAGUAUUUACAUCUGCUCAAUUGUUUUUGUCAACCAUUUAUGCAUUUUUUUUAAUCUCCAUAUAAAUAUCAACUAACAUUUAUCAAUUUUAACUUCUUAAAUUUCUUUUUUUUAAUUUCCUUAAAAAAAGUUGUGUCUCUAUAGUUUAUCCAUUUAAUUUUAUCUCUAUAUUCUGAACCUCUUUGUAAACAUGUUAAAAAAGUACCACAUAAAUCAAGUUUAUGGUCGUGCUUUAUUGCACGGUCAUGUUUGCCUUUAACUGAAACUCUGCCCAAGUAUUCUUGAUGUGCAGGGAACACAGCCAAAACACUCCCCCCCCUGCCCGGGUAUAUGAAGUACACCUAGAGUAUGAGUAUUUAAGACCACCCAGGUAUAUUUACCAACCACUCUCUCAUUUACCUGAGGUAUAUGUUAGAGUAGACCUGCUGUAAAGUACUAUUCAAUGCACUGUGUGACGUCCAGAGAGAACCUCCACAUUUUCUUUCACUUUCUUGGUUUUGUCGCAUCUUUAAUCUUUAAACAGCCUCCCUGACAUGAGAACAGAAUCACCAGGGAAACCUUUUAAAACAGGUUAUGUUGUUUUGGCAGCUUCAUCCAAACUAAUGCUGAUGGAGCAGAAAAAUACAGAUAGGAAAGGAGCUCAUGCUGGCCUCUUAACCUGGUUUCUGCUGUCUGCCAGCUAAAUUUUUUAACCGUCUUACUGUUUUGGGGACCUACAAUCUUAAAUACUUAAUUCAUGACUUACAACCGGCACCAUCUGUAAAACCUUGUAUUUGACUGCUGUCGUUGAACCUCCGCCUCAGAAACCACACUCUGAUUCGGGGUUGCUGAAUAAUUAGUCACCGUCUCUAACCUUCCUUUCUUUCUAAAGUACGAAAGAAACUUUCUGCCCUUAUAUUAAACAUUCGUCUAGUCCUCAACGCUUUCACUCUGCACUCGUUACUCAGCUGGGACUGCAUCCACUUAAACGGUUCGUGAUCUUCUGCUUUCUAUGGAUUCAAACUUCACCUGAAUUGAUCUCAGGGUGGCUUUUCACUCCGUAGUUCACUGAUAACUCCCACACCCAACAGAAAAUCUAUUUGGCUUCUCUGGUCUUGCUAAAAUGCUCAGUAGUUGUUAAAACUAUACCUUAAAGUUGGUGUCAAUAUAGGAAAUGUUAGAGUUUGUGAAAUUGGAAUUAGAAAACAAAGCCAAGUGGUCAAAUAUACGGACACAAUCAAGAUGUUUGAUUGAUUUUCUCUCUUGUUACAGUGUGAAAAAGCAGGUGUUUUGCCCUCAAAACCUCUUCAAAUCCAGUCAAUUCUGUCAUCUAAACUUGAUCAGACCUGCCGCAUACUGCAUUAAAAUACAGCAAAUUCCACUAAAACCUGGACUACUUAAGGAUUUGGUUUCAGGACUAACUUAACGGGACUCCUCAUCUCUUUCAUUUCUUGCUGGCGUCAAGAGCCUUUAACCCUUAGAACUCCCAGCUAUAUUUAGCUAUUUUUAGUCCGCAACUGUAUCCUUUCAAGCACAGCAAAUAUAUAAGCAUCUUUUUUUUUUUUUUCCAGCACAACCUCAGCUGUCAGUUUAUGGGUGCAAAAACUACGUAAAAUGAAUGUGACUGUAGAUUCAGAACCAUCAAAGUCCAUUGACACCAACAGGACUUUGCUCAAAAACACAUAAAUCUACAGUGACCAAGCCUUUUCUCACCGUCACAUCAUUCUCUCAAGUCUUGGCUAUCAAGAGAUGAAAUAUUGGGAUUGAAACAAAAACACAACAGAAACCAUUUACAUAUUUACACUUAUUCUUCCAGGUGUUUUUUUUUUUGCUAUUUCCAGUUGUUUUUUCUCACUCCUUGAAGCAGAUCCUGUCUGGGAUGAGACAGAGGGCCACAUCAUACUGCUCAUAAUCUCUUCUUUGCUUGUUUCCAAACAUUGAGGACCAUUUUUUCAUAUUUUGCAGACAAGCAGGGAACUUUCUUGUCUCUUGUUGAUCUUUGGUUGCCUCUUAUUGGACACUACCGUCAAGGGAACAAUAGCAGUGUUGUUUUCGUUGACAAUGACAUUGAUGAAAAUGAUCGUCAGCGUCAUCGUCAAUGAAAACACUGAAGAAUAUAUGUUUAGCGUCUAAAUGCUCAUGAAUUUUGCAACUCUGUUCGUCGUCCAAAACUAACGUUUUCGUCUAGUCUAGUCUCGUCAACGUAAACGCACAUUUGUCUCGUCACAUUUUAGUCAUCUAAGACUUAUGUUUAGCUUGUCAACGUCACGUCUUCGUCGUGGGGAAAAAAAAAGGGGAAAACAACACUGAACAAUAGAAAAUUAGAGACCAUGUAAUUGGUUGAAAGUUUGACAGAAAAAGAUGUCAUCAAAACCGCUUGUCAAACCCGGAAGACAUUAGCGGCAUUUAGCGAUAGCGAUCUUUUGUAAUCACAACAAUAUGAUAAAUAAUCAUGUUUUCACCGAUAUAUCACUGCAGAUUUACCAUCAAACGUCUUUGAUCGAACACCUUUGUUUGUGGCUUGAUUGUGAACCUUGUCGGAGGUGUAGAAAUGCCUGGAAACCCUCAACAGAUCGCCAAAAGGGUCCUGUAGAGACACAUGGUACAGUUCCCGAGAAACUAAACAAUAUAAAUGGUGUCACAUGGGAGCACUGGCGAUCCAGCUGAGUUAAAUACAAAACUACAACUGUAACUAUAUCUGUUCACAGUCCUCUCUUCCCACUCAGGUUUUUCCUCAGCAGGACCACCGGCUGUCCCUCCCUCUACCCCUCUCUUGGCUGCCAGUGCAUCGCUCCAGAUGUUUCGGAUCUGGAUCCCCGUCCUCCAGGAGAUCCAGCCUCUCCUCUCCUCUCUUUCCUUCUGUCUUGUCCUUGUCUCUUUCUCCCUCUGUGUGUGUGUGUGUGCGUCUCCUUCCUGCCAUCUGUGAG
Non-coding RNA from Xyrichtys novacula (pearly razorfish), 12665 nucleotides. The record is from the annotation of a GenBank genome assembly. NCBI's taxonomy places the organism in Eukaryota, Metazoa, Chordata, Actinopteri, Labriformes, Labridae.